UUUUGAAAAUCAAAGUCAAACAGCCGUUCUAAGUCCACAGACUGAUUUCUGCUUUCAGUGUUCCUGUGUUUAAUUUUAGUGUGCUUCUGGAGAAGUGUGUCACUCUGUCAGGCUUUUGUGACAUUGACAUGAAUUGUGGUACUUUUGCAGGGGCGGUUGGAUGUUUACGAUAAAACUGAUGCAGCGGGCAGCGUGUAUGUGUGUGUGUGUGUGUGGCACUGUGCCAUGAGGACGCUGGCACAGUAGUGGCAGAAGCAUCGUGAAAAAUCCCACACAGAUGGAUGAACCUGUGUGUGUGUGUGUGUGUGUUAUGAGGCCAAGGUCAGUGAGCUGUUGUUGUUUACCUGGUUCGCGGGUGGUUGGUACAUGCAGUUCUCUGGCUGAAUGUUUGUUUAAUUCAGAUGAAGGGCAGCAGGUCUCAUUCUGCCCCCAAAAACGCCUGCUUUAGCCCUAAUUUCCAUCAUUUCUACACAAAAUCAUAUGUCCCUUUAUACUUUAGAAAUGUAUUUUAUUACUGUUGACUUUAGUCAGUAAUAACCACUAUCAGUCGUAUGUGUGUGUUUAUGUGUGACUGUGUGUGUGUUUUUAGGUGGACAUGGGUACCAGCCAGUAAUAAUAAUGUAAGCUGAUCCUCCGUGUGAGAGAGAUCUGCCUGAGGCCAGAUCACAUUUACGGAGAACAGGCGUCUCGUUGGUCACGUGAUGACGUUGACUCACGUUCACCUCUGGUGUCAGGGCCAAUCAGGGGUCAGCGAGCGCAGACAAUAUCUGGUCUCCCCUCAGACUCAACCGUGUCUCUGCAUCAGCAGAAAAACUCAAGAUGUUUGCUGGAGAAGCGCUAGAGUGCUGGACACCGAACCAGCAGUCAGCAGAAAAACAAGGGCCAGCGGCCAACCAGACAGACGGAGGGUUAGAGAGGUCCAAAGAGCCAACGCUUCACUGAAACUCACACACAGAAGAGCGUUUGUAAGAUUGUAAGGACAGAAAUACACUGACCUGUCGUGACCACACAAAUGGAGCAAUUAACAGCCUGUUAAUGAUGAGUAAUGUCCAUCUCAUUAGCUAUUUCUGUGCAAAAUAGUCCACUUUUAACCUCACCAAUCUAUUUUAAAUCAAUAAAGUGAAUUAAUGAUGAACCUUU
Molecule: long non-coding RNA, 1140 nt
Organism: Cyprinus carpio (common carp)
Lineage: Eukaryota; Metazoa; Chordata; Actinopteri; Cypriniformes; Cyprinidae
Exons: 2
Source: RefSeq, a predicted model, not a curated record